This 65-nucleotide transfer RNA is filed under the name Diphyllobothrium balaenopterae (whale tapeworm). RNAcentral's name for it is "tRNA-Val". The record is from RNAcentral. Lineage: Eukaryota; Metazoa; Platyhelminthes; Cestoda; Diphyllobothriidea; Diphyllobothriidae.
UGCAAUGUAUUUUAUUUAAAAUAUUUACUUUACACGUAAAAGAACCACUUGAGGUGGCUUUGUGA